This 620-nucleotide long non-coding RNA is filed under the name Homo sapiens (human). RNAcentral describes it as "HSALNT0298102". Lineage: Eukaryota; Metazoa; Chordata; Mammalia; Primates; Hominidae. The record is from RNAcentral.
UUUGAAACUCAUGUUGAAACUCACUCUCCAGUGAAACAGUAUCAGGAGGUGGGGCCUUUCAGAGGUGACUGAGUCAUGAGGGCUCUGCCCUCAUGAUUGGAUUGACUAGUCCAUUCCUGGGUUAAUGGAUAAUAGGUUAUCAUUGUGUGAGUGGGUUAGUUAUCACAAGAGUGUGUCUGUUAUAAAAAGCCAGGUUGGUUCUCUCUCAUGAGCCCCCUCACCAUGUGAUGUCCCAAGCUGCCUUGGGACUCUGCAGAGGGUCCCCAUAAGAGGAAGGCCCCGACUAGAUGGAAUCCUUUGUCCCUGGACUUCUCAGCCUCCAGAACUGAUUCCCCAGGAUCAACCAUCUGAGCAGAUACCUUGGAAUGUCCCCAGAUUUCAGAGCCUCGGACCAGCAGCAACACACUCUGAAGUAGGUCUCAGAAGACAAAAAGCUGAAAUCAACUCAUGCUUCCUGCUACACAGAAUCCACUGAGAGGAAAAGGAAACUUCACCGAAACUUCAGAAAGCUACAGAAAUGACAUCCAUUUUCACAAUCCCAGAAGGAAAGAUGCAUCUGAAGGGAAUAAAAACAGAGCAAUGGAAGAGUAUUUGUUAAAAUAAAUGGCUUUGACAGGGCA